UUAAACCAAACCCUAGCUGUCCACUGGGGUGUUCAUGGAUGUCUAAGUCAAAUCCUUAAAAGCUUUAAGUGGAAAGUAUAUGCUGAGGCAGCUGUCUUGGGAAAGACAGAACACAUUCUGUUUGUUCUUAUCUCUGGAGGGUUCAGUUCCAGUGCUCCAGGCAAAAAAAAAAAAUAAUAAAAUAAAAAAAAAUCCUGAAGAUAAUGACUUCUCUGCAAGCAGGAUGAAAAUCCCCCUGCUCCGGGGUUUGAAACGCAAUCUCUGAACCUCACACGCCAGCAUUGGGGGCUCCAGCUGCUGGGUGGUGUCCAGUCUCAGGGAAACACUCAACAAAACAAAUAUUAUCUGGAGCAACUUUAUCUCGUUGUCCUGCUGGGCACAUGGUGGAGACGCGAGAGGAAGAGUGCAGCUGUGGACUGCAGAGUCGGCUGUGUGCUCCCCCGCAGUCAGCAUGUAGGGUGUUCCGGUUCCCACGCGCAGAAGCUGUGUGGCUGAUUUGCGGAGAGGCAGAACACGACCCAAAGUGCUCCUCGUGAAAAUGACACUGAAUAGAAUGUGGUCUUUGUUGAAUUGGGGUGCUCUUUAUAAACACUCAGUAUCCUAAUCAAGGAGUCUGUGAUGGGAACGCCAGUUGUACCGGUGUUACGGGACACCGAUUACACGGUUUUGAGGAAAAGGAAACCAAACCUGGACGUUCUAGAUGCAGUUGGCAAAAUAAGAGAUUGCAUCGAAUCAAUGCACCAGCUAGGGCAGCUGCAUUGCCACUCAGAGGCCAUCGACAGGAAGUGCGUUCUUAAACUCACUUUCCAAGUGACAGGACACAGCUCAGCAAAUGCACCAUGGUGAGACUCCUGGCUUUCCUUUAAUGGGGAUAAACCACCGUGGAGAGGGAAAGUGCCCAGUGGUCUGCCUGAGCCUGCUUGAUGCUGAGACCAGAUAAGCCAUAAAUUGCACAAGCCUUAUCCCAAGUGGAUUGGAAUGAUGGAGAGUCACACUGUGAGCUGGCGCCAGCUUCUGUUCCCGAUCACGAAGCAGCAAGCGAAGGGACAUACGGGAAGGAGGCUAUCCAGCUGGCAGAUCUGGGACACUCCCCACGUGAAGGGGGAGGUAGACAGAGCCGGGCUGGCCUGAGCAGGGACAGUCAUUGUCAUGGUCAGUCUGAGUCAGCAGCUCUUGAUCUUGCUCAAGGUACAACAGCAUCACUUGGGUUACUUGUAAAAAUGCAGAUACCUUGGCUUCAGCUCCAAAAAUCAUGAUUUCUUUCCAAUAGAGACAAUCUCGGGAAUUCUGAGCAAGCAGCCUAGCGUCAGAAACAUUGUGAAGGGAAAUGGGCUACGUGCCAAGAGAAAGUGUCCAGGAGGAGGAGAAUAAUAAGCAGAGUGGGGCAGUGAAAAGUCAGAAACAAAGCAAAUUCUUUGGACGCCCGCUUAGACCCGGAUCUCAGCCACAUUCCCACUGAACCCGCAUGAGCAUCUGUCCCUCGUGCGUAAAAUAGGAGGAACUAACAAGGAUAACGACAGGCCCUGUGCAAUGACCCCUUACUUAGCACGGGGUGAUGGGUCUUAAAGGCUUUCCUCUAUACAUCUCAGCACAUUGUAAGGAUAGGGUAGCAUUAUCCCCAUUUUAAAGGUGAGAACACCAAGGCACAGGUUGAGCUUAUAACUUUAGAAGACGUCCUCAGUACUAACAAAUGUUGGAGCUGGAACUCGAGCCAGGAAGUCAGAGCUGAAGGAAGACAGUGAGAAAAUGACCAGGAAACUUCUCACUGCUGCCUGACUCAGAGGGGCUCGGGGGCUGACCUUCCUUCGGGGUUGCUGGAGCUGACCACCUGGCUGUGCGCAGGCUGCUGCGGAACUCAGCCGUGAACGCUGAAGGGUCGCAACAGAUGGUGGAGGAGAGGACUGGAUUUGAACACACAUCUUGGAGGCUCUGUUUCCCCAACUCUAAAAUGUGAGGGGGCUGGUGCUGUGGUGUAGCGGGUAAAGCAGCUGCCUGAAGUGCUGGCAUCCCAUAUGGGCGCCGGUUCGAGUCCCAGCUGCUCCACUUCCAGUCCAGCUCUCUGCUAUGGCCUGGGAAAGCAGUAGAAUAGAAGAUGGCCCAAGUCCUUCAGCCCCUGCACCCGCGUGGGAGACCUGGAAGAAGCUCCCAGCUCCUGGCUUCGGGUUGGCUCAGCUCUGGCUGUUGUGGCCGAUUGGAGAGUGAACCAGCGGAUGGAAGACCUCUUUCUCUCUCUGCCUCUCAUCUCUGUGUAUAACUUGACUUUCAGAUAAAUAAAUAAAUCUUUAAAAAAAAUUAAAUGCGAGCAGUAGCCUCCUUACUGCCCAGUGAGUGGCAUUCCAAUGAGAUAAUGCCUGUGAAAAGUAUUUUGUGAACUUGACAUUCUGUACAUAAAUCUGUGGUUAUUGGGAAGACAUAUAUGGCUCCAAAAUGGAGCCAAAACCAUCUUAUUCCAAUGGCCAAUGAUUUCCCUUUGAGUAAAUAAAAAGUUGACCUAAUGUAUUUUCAGAUAGUGGCUUAGUCUGCCUUUCCUAACAGGUCUUGUUCUCUGGUGGGUGAAGGUGGGAGAUUAGGAGAGUGCUAAGGCUGCUUGUUUGAGAAACAGGAGGGUUUCAUCCUAAUGAGGCCAAGAGGCGCUGGCAUGCAGGUCAUCCCACAGCAUUCUGGAACAUUCCAUGUAUUCCAAAAGGUGAGGAACUUGACCCCCACAGGCCAAGAUUCGAGAUCUCAGAAGAGAGACCCCACUUUGAUAUCUGGUCCUUGCAGUGGUGAGCACAGUCCAUCCUCUAAGCUGAGAAAGUGUUGUUUAUGUUUUUUGUACCAUCUGUGGUUCAGACAUAGCUGGUGUUUUGUAUUUGCCACUGACGGUUUUUCUGAGCUCUGUUUGCAGUCGCGGUGAUGCAAAAGCAAGAACCUCCUUUUGGGAAAGUCAACCCAGACCCACAGAGAGAAACAUGACAAGCGCCACAGUUUCUAGACUGGACAAUAAAAGCAAACCAGAAAAACAAUCGCUCCACGUUACUGUCUCCUUUUCAAGGGGUCUCCUCAUCAUGGUUCUUAAGGAAACUCAGCCACCAGGGAGAAACAGUAAUUUGUCCAUAUAGAGAACUUGCGAAAGAAAAAACUUUCUGGUGAGUCAGCACCCUCCGCCCAUGGAGAAGCUCCAUGCCCUUCCUCCUGGAAGGAGGAAGACCACUUUCUACUGGGAAAGGUAGACGAGAGACUUGGGAAGAGCCCAGUUUUGCUUUUCUUUCUUAAGGAAACAUUUUUGCUACUUUCCUCUGGCAACAGAUCAAACUCACUUUUCUUACCUGUACCUCAUCAGCCGAGAUGCUCUGCAUUAGUCUUCCCUUUCCAGUAGCCCAGACUUCGGGUUGAAUUCACUUACAUGGAACUGAAUCCAAUCCCUCUCAUUCUAUUCUAUUCCCUUCAAUUCUGUUGCAGGAACUGUUGUGGGUCUGGGAACUAAAUAGGGACUGGGAGACAGAACUGGAUGAAGCAAGAUUAUACUUCUGGUCUUCUGAAGCCAGAAUGAAAAUGGGAAUCAUUGACCAAUGGCUGCUCUUUGGGAUAGGGUGAGAUCUGAGAAGACAAAAAGGCCAAAAAGAAUGAGGAUCAAAAUAAAUAUUUGGAAUUUGGAAGUCAGGCUAAAGGAAUCAAAGCAAGAGGGUGUCAAGAUUUAUCUCUGUGCAGACUGUCUGGGUGCA
Molecule: non-coding RNA, 3704 nt
Organism: Oryctolagus cuniculus (rabbit)
Lineage: Eukaryota; Metazoa; Chordata; Mammalia; Lagomorpha; Leporidae
Source: RefSeq, a predicted model, not a curated record